This 253-nucleotide ribosomal RNA is filed under the name uncultured bacterium. Its description in RNAcentral is "partial 16S ribosomal RNA". It matches the Rfam family "Bacterial small subunit ribosomal RNA", at positions 524 to 776 of the family's 1533-position model. The record is from RNAcentral.
UACGAAGGGGGCUAGCGUUGUUCGGAAUUACUGGGCGUAAAGCGCGCGCAGGCGGUUCUCCAAGUCAGUGGUGAAAGCCCGGAGCUCAACUCCGGAACUGCCAUUGAAACUGUUGAACUUGAGGACGAGAGAGGUGAGUGGAAUUCCCAGUGUAGAGGUGAAAUUCGUAGAUAUUGGGAAGAACACCAGUGGCGAAGGCGGCUCACUGGCUCGUAUCUGACGCUCAGGCGCGAUAGCGUGGGGAGCAAACAGG